UCAGGAUAUAGGGGGCCACUGUCUGGCAGGGGCACUGAUGCAGGCAGUUGAACUUCUAUCAGUUUCUAAACCAUACCGUCUUUGGUUCCAUUCUCGUGUGGAUAGCUAAGUGAGUAUUCCAGUCUAAGGUUCUUCAGAGGCUGUACCUUACCUCCCAGGCCUGCGAAAGAAUCCAGCGCUCCAUCGCCUGAGACCUCUGAAACAAAAAGUAGGCCUAGAGGAGGAGGCCACUAUCACUGUUGAGAACACUCAUGAGUCCAACAAAGAUGAAGAGGUAGAAGGAGACAAUGGGGGAAGAAGGAGAAAUGGGAACUAUAGCUCCAGGAGGUGGGACAGUGGUGGCCCGGGUGGACAGAGCGGGCCAGGUUACAGAAUCCAACCCUGGGGACCCCCAUGGAGGAAGGAGUCUGGCUCAACAAGAAGAAGAAGAGGAGGAAGCUGAAGAAGAAACAUCAUAAACAGAAGCUCUUGUAUCUAGGUCUGGUGCCCCGUGCUGCAGCUCAAGUUCACCUACGAGAGCGAGGAGGAUGGGAGGGGGGGAGGAAGAGAUGAGGCAGAGAAGAGCAGCUGAAGUGAUAAUCUUCCUCAGGACCACACAAGAUCUACGUGUCUGAUUGUGAGUGUGACAUACCAAGGCUGCUAAUCAACACAGAUACGGUCACAUAUAGCCUAGGCUGUGUUUCAGUCUUCCUAAGAGCUGACCAAAAGUGCUGAAGCAUAGUUCAUUUUAUAGCUUUCGGAUUGGCAGAAAAUAAAUAAUUUGAACAGCACUGUGCAGAGCACACGCAAAUGAAAGUGAAAGCACAGCUCAUUAAUCACUAGCCUAUAACAACUUGAGGACCUUGAGAGAUUUAGGAAUCGAGGUGUAGAGGUGCAUUGAGGUGUUUGGGUUUACUUCAUCAUGCUCAAAUGUAAUGGACAGGCUCAGUCAUCUGGUCUGUCAUAAUCCCUCCAUGACUUGCCUCUGGAGGACUAGACAGACAGUCAGUCCAAAGAAUCCCAUUGGUUCCAGGGAUUAAGGUUUCUCUGUUGGUGAAUUACUGCAGAAGGCUAAGAAGGAAGACCUCUGGAAAUGUCCACAGUAGUUCAGUUAAAGGGGCUACAUGCUCCUGUUCCUUAUAUGCUCCUCAGUCUAGAGAUAGACCAGGGGAUUAAACACAGGCCCGUUCAGCAACGGAGCUUAUAAUGGUUGGUGGAGUAAUAGUAUACUUAAUCCACUACCAAGCAGGUUCAUCUGGUAGUGGAGGGUCUUCUGACCAGCCUGUACAAUGGAACAUUCCUCCCCUGCUGUUUUGGCCCAGCUCCACAGCCUCUAGUCCCUGGUGCAGCAACAGGACACAGCAAGGAUGGCAAAGAAUCUGCAGGAGCUCCAGAACAGCUCUACCAUGUCUACUGGUGAGUAGUCUUAUCUGGUUUUACCUCGCCUGGAUUAACCUGCGUUUGUCUGAGCUCGCCAUUCGCGUACACAUGCAUACAGUCACCGGUCAGUAUCAGCCCUCACCUGUCCUUAAAUACCAGACCACACCUGUCUAUACUAUCACUUACCUAUACAUGCAUGCUCUCACCUAUCUAAACACUAACCAGUUUGAAAAUCACCAGCGUCUCCUGCCAUUCAUUCACCUGGAGUUUCACCCAAGAGCUGCCAGGAGACCACACUUUGUACAGGUCUAGGAAUUGUGAACGAGAUGACCUCAGGUGAUGCCACUGCAGUUGUGUCCCUGUUUCAGUACUGGAUCACAGACAAUCCCGCCCAUGCCGAGAGAAUGGAAAACAGGCCAACCUACAACAUAACCUUCCUAGUCGAGCCAACCAACAACACAGCCUUAGACUUUCCUAGAUGUUCAGGGUUUUAAACAACACUGCUGACGGAAAACUUGUCUGACUUAAUUCAUUGUGAGCCCAUGUAACAGAGUUAAGUACAUACCGUAAGCUCACUCCACAGCUAGCUUGAAAUGUCGCGGAUGGAGCCAUCCAAUCGGUACCUUUUGGGUGGCUCAAACCGUUGGAAUGUUGUCAAGGAGGGCGGCCACGUGUGUUUACAAAGCAGAGGUCCCGAGUUUGAGCCGGGUACGAGCCGAAUCAGGGGGAAGUGAUACCAGACACAAUUAAUUAACCGUUUAAUAGAUUUUCCCCACAGAAAAGUGUGGCGAGCGAGCGUAUAAAAACAUUAAGUGGAUAAGGAAUAACAGUACUUUACCACAUUGUCCUAUGCACCUGUGCGGGCUCUAGGUCUAGUGUGAGCUUCAAGAGUUAUAUUAUUCCAUGUGAAAACCUACACUAUUUUUCUGUUACAAUGUUGUUAUAACCAUGAGAAAUGAAACAGACUAAAGUAUAGCUUGUGACAGUUUCGUUAUUCCUGAUAAAAAAAAAACGUCUCUCUGAUACACACAACCGUUCAAAAGUUUAGGGUCACUUAGAAAUGUCCUUGUUUUUGAAAGAAAAGAGAAGAGAAAAAAAAGUCCAUUAAAAUAACAUCCAAUUGAUCAGAAAUACAGUGUAGACAUUGUUAUAAAUGACUUCUUUUUUUAAUGGAAUAUCUACAUAGCCGUACAGAGGCCCAUUAUCAGCAACCAUCACUCCUGUGUUAGCUAAUCUUAAAUGUAUCCUUUUAAAAGGCUAAUUGAUCAUUAGAAAACACUUUUGCAAUUAUGUUAGCACAGCUGAAAACUGUUGUUCUGAUUAAAGAAGCAGUAAAACCGGCCUUUAGACUAGUUGAGUAUCUGGAGCAUCAGCAUCUGUGGGUUUGAGUGUGUGGCAUGCUUGAACAGAGGCAUUUGUGGUUCUGUGGUCUGGCCCACCAUCAGAUUGAAUGAUCAAGAUUGACUUGUUGAGAGACACAUCAUCUUCACUCUAGUUCUCUCCACUGAGGAUGCUGAGAUUUUCAACUGUAUGUCAAAGGUGGCUGGAUGGCUAGAAAACCUUGUCCUUGACAGUGACAUGAACUUUCCCAUCAUAGAAUGAACUAGAUGGAGAUGCUGGGAUCAACAUGACAGAUGGUACAAGUCCACUGAUGUGGUAAUCAUGGUCGGCAGCUGCUAGAACUGGCCCACUCACAGGAGCAAUGCUUGGAUGUCUGCCUCUGUUACGGGUCCCUAUAGGCUGGCCAGGUUCUCCGACAGGGAUGAUUGCCUAAUCAUCCACACAUAACAUUUCACUGUCCUGCCACAUGCAGGCAAACUGUUUUAAUGUAGUUCCAAACUUUUGAGUCUUGAUGUCCCUUUAUCACCCGAGACUGGACCAUGAACUUGACGUCAAACCUUCCUGUGUACUGGAGAGCAGACAUGGACCAUGGAUUCUUGGGUGUAAACUGCAGUCUUAGCCACUGUAUUGAUGGGAUUUUAGUUUUUGGUGGAAGCCGCUUUUCCACUUUGUCACACAAGUCCUCAACUUAUAUAUAUUACCUUUUAUUUAACUAGACAUGUCAGUGAAGAACAAAUUCUUAUUUUCAAUGAUGGCCUAGGAACAGUGGGUUAACUGCCUUGUUCAGGGGUAGAACGACAGAUUUUUACCUUGUCAGCUCAGGGAUUUGAUCUUGCAACCUUUCGGUUACUAGUCCAAUGCUCAAACCACUGUCGCCCCAUGUCUGCAAUCGUUGACCUGAGCUGUGUAUUCGUUAAAAUACUUCUGUACUUCAUCCCAAAAGGGCUGAAAUGAGGAUUGUGGUUUGCCAUUCAGCUUCCUUAAAAAGAAGGAACAAGGAUACUCUCUCAUCAAUUAGGCCCUGUCCAUCAUCGUUUGCUUAACCCUUGUCGUCUGUCAGAAACUGAUACAUUUCUCUCAGGAAGUAGCUGUUCACUUUGCAGCGUGUGCGUAUUUGUUCAUGAAUGUUUUUUUGCAUUGCUCUAGUGUGGAGUAUGUUGGUAUUUCUUUUCUCAGUGUGGCGAUGACAGAAGCUUGCCUGGUCUCAUGAACACCAUUGCUAUGUGAGGAUACCUUCCAUAUGAAUGUCAGAGUGCCUAGGUGGUUACCACAGGUAUACUUGUAUACAGUGAAAGUCAAUGGAAGUUUCAAGUUGUCAAUCCAUUUCCUUCUCCGGAAUCUGUCUUCAGGAGCAAAGUCCAGUAGAAAGAGGAGGGUGGUAUUGCGGCACUUUCUCCAAAGCUUGUAACAGAGUGCUGGACUUGGGGCUGACCGGUCUACAUGAUGCCCUCACAGUGUAGCAUAAAACAUCAGACUGGUGUACGUAGGGAGUGGGC
RNAcentral lists this long non-coding RNA (4196 nucleotides) under Salmo salar (Atlantic salmon). RNAcentral describes it as "lncRNA (ENSSSAG00000082279.1)". The record is from RNAcentral. Lineage: Eukaryota; Metazoa; Chordata; Actinopteri; Salmoniformes; Salmonidae.